UACACUCCUACGGGAGGCAGCAGUGGGGAAUAUUGGACAAUGGGCGCAAGCCUGAUCCAGCCAUGCCGCGUGAGUGAUGAAGGCCCUAGGGUUGUAAAGCUCUUUCACCGGUGAAGAUAAUGACGGUAACCGGAGAAGAAGCCCCGGCUAACUUCGUGCCAGCAGCCGCGGUAAUACGAAGGGGGCUAGCGUUGUUCGGAUUUACUGGGCGUAAAGCGCACGUAGGCGGACUAUUAAGUCAGGGGUGAAAUCCCGGGGCUCAACCCCGGAACUGCCUUUGAUACUGGUAGUCUUGAGUUCGAGAGAGGUGAGUGGAAUUCCGAGUGUAGAGGUGAAAUUCGUAGAUAUUCGGAGGAACACCAGUGGCGAAGGCGGCUCACUGGCUCGAUACUGACGCUGAGGUGCGAAAGCGUGGGGAGCAAACAGGAUUAGAAACCCCAGUAGUCC
Molecule: ribosomal RNA, 447 nt
Filed under: uncultured organism
Description: partial 16S ribosomal RNA
Rfam family: Bacterial small subunit ribosomal RNA
Source: RNAcentral